Molecule: ribosomal RNA, 254 nt
Filed under: uncultured bacterium
Lineage: Bacteria
Description: partial 16S ribosomal RNA
Rfam family: Bacterial small subunit ribosomal RNA
Source: RNAcentral
UACAGAGGUCCCAAGCGUUGUUCGGAAUCACUGGGCGUAAAGGGCGCGUAGGUGGUGGCUUAAGCGUGCGGUGAAAGCUCGGGGCUCAACUCCGAGUCGGCCGUGCGAACUGGGCUCACUGGAGCAUAGUAGAGGCAGGUGGAAUUCCGGGUGUAGCGGUGGAAUGCGUAGAGAUCCGGAAGAACACCGGUGGCGAAGGCGGCCUGCUGGGCUAUGGCUGACACUGAGGCGCGACAGCGUGGGGAGCAAACAGG